Oryzias melastigma (Indian medaka) is the source of this 471-nucleotide long non-coding RNA. RefSeq lists it as uncharacterized. The transcript is spliced from 3 exons. NCBI's taxonomy places the organism in Eukaryota, Metazoa, Chordata, Actinopteri, Beloniformes, Adrianichthyidae. The record is from RefSeq and is a predicted model, not a curated record.
GUCACACACUCACAUAAAAACAGUUCUGUUGUUUAGCUUCAAAUGCUAACAAAAAGGUACAUUUUAUAAUAAAUCAUAAUAAUAAAUGUCUGUCUGUCUGUCUUAAACUCAACAUAAAUAGUUACAACAGCAAAAAUGUCAAUGUUUUUAGGAAAAAAAAAUAGGAAACUAUGAACGAAAAGACAAAAAUUAAGCAUAAAUUGUCAAAUUUAAAUUAAAAAAAUAGGUGUUUCACCAGCAAUGUUUGGAUGGACCAUCACAGGCAAGCUAAAAACUCUGCUAUGAAUAAUUCAGAAACUCCAGUCAGCCCUUCAUGAAGCUUUUUAAAAUACAACUGCAACAGCACAGGUUCAUAUCAAUAGAAGACAUCAAGUUCAAACCUUAAUCUGCUCCUUAUUGCGCUAAAACUGUGACAGCAACAAACAAGGACGUCUGUUACAACAGGAGGUUAUGAGUCUUUUCUGACACACG